This 506-nucleotide ribosomal RNA is filed under the name uncultured bacterium. Its description in RNAcentral is "partial 16S ribosomal RNA". It matches the Rfam family "Bacterial small subunit ribosomal RNA", at positions 30 to 523 of the family's 1533-position model. The record is from RNAcentral.
AUUGAACGCUGGCGGCAGGCCUAACACAUGCAAGUCGAACGGCAGCACAGAAGAGCUUGCUCUUUGGGUGGCGAGUGGCGGACGGGUGAGUAAUGUCUGGGAAACUGCCCGAUGGAGGGGGAUAACUACUGGAAACGGUAGCUAAUACCGCAUAUCGUCGCACGACCACAGUGGGGGACCUUCGGGCCUCACACCAUCGGAUGUGCCCGGAUGGGAUUAGCUAGUAGGUGGGGUAAUGGCUCACCUAGGCGACGCUCCCUAGCUGGUCUGAGAGGAUGACCAGCCACACUGGAACUGAGACACGGUCCAGACUCCUACGGGAGGCAGCAGUGGGGAAUAUUGCACAAUGGGCGCAAGCCUGAUGCAGCCAUGCCGCGUGUAUGAAGAAGGCCUUCGGGUUGUAAAGUACUUUCAGCGGGGAGGAAGGCGGUGAGGUUAAUAACCUUGCCGAUUGACGUUACCCGCAGAAGAAGCACCGGCUAACUCCGUGCCAGCCGCCGCCGUAA